Oncorhynchus kisutch (coho salmon) is the source of this 3923-nucleotide long non-coding RNA. RefSeq lists it as uncharacterized. The transcript is spliced from 3 exons. The record is from RefSeq and is a predicted model, not a curated record. NCBI's taxonomy places the organism in Eukaryota, Metazoa, Chordata, Actinopteri, Salmoniformes, Salmonidae.
GUUGAUGAGGGUUAGCUAGGGGAACUGGAGAGCUGUAACCACUGGCCAGGGAAAUGAGAGAGAUGUUAUUAUCAAACCUCUAACGUAACUCUGAUUAGCUUAGACUCCAACUAUAAUCAUAAUCACCCAAACACCCUCCACCCCCCAUCUCUCGAUAUUAACCUGAGCAAUCAAAAUUAGCUUGGUUAUCUUAGUCACUGGCUGUUUCACGCCUGGGAGCUUCCCCGGCCUGCCCAGUACUCUGCCUGUAAGACGCCACAUUCCCUGGGGCCGUGGAAAUGUGCUAAUGAAGACGGUGGUGGAAAUAGUGAAUUACCCUGUGAUAUCUGUAUAUAGCUUAUAUCGCUGCAGGCUCCAUCAUUAAAUGGCUAACAAUCAGUGGAGCAAAGCAGGCCUUUGAUCUGAUUGAUAGGAUGGAGGCCAAUGGGCCAUAUGAUAGGAUAGUCAUCAGUACUAGCAUUGCAGUAGCACGUUGACAUUUCUUUGUGUAAUGAUACCAUUAAGUCAAUUACAUUCACAUUACCUUUCACUUCAACCAUGACUAAAAUAAAGCCCCCUGCAACAACGGUAACUUUUAUUGGCCGUCUUGGACCUAUGCGAUCUCCAUGACUCCAGAUCCAGCUAGCUGUAUGAACUACGGUGAAGAUGAACAGGUUGGCUGUGAUGCAGCAGGGGUCUCCACAGAGGCAGAUGCUUAGCAACCACCUGCUGCUUGAUUAUGGGUUAAGUCAGACCCAAGGAUAUCCGGCAAUGGGAGAAAGAGGCAUAGCAUCCUGUGGGGGUGGGGCUUACUGAUGGUAAACAUGGUCCCCCACGGCCGGCAUGUCUGCCACGCCCACGCCGAGGACCCUGGGGACGACCGAGAGGAGCGCAUCCUGGCCGUGCUCGGGAUCAUCGGGACCGUGCUCAACCUGCUGGUGGUCAUCUUCGUCUACAUAUACACCACUAUCUGACCACUACCACCGCAACGAUCCAACCAGUACUGGACCACGGUCCAGGCUGACACAUCACCAAGGGAGAGGGGAACGCAGCGCAGCGACAGGGAGAAAAUGGAGGUGGACCAAGAAGGAGUAGGACCAAGCCUGUCAAGACCACCAGUGUUAUCAAGUUUUGACCCCAAAAAAAUCAAAGCCGUGCCUGACCAUAUCGCUAUCCUUUCCAUCUUUAGGCCCGGGAGGGUGAGGAAGAGCAGGUUUAUUCAUGAACAUGGCCUUUUUGAUAUCAGAAACAUGGGAAACCUCCACCAUUUCUUCGAUGACAAGGCUAUUGUUUUGUACAGACUCUCUCACAUGCAUUAUUUGUAGAUGUUUAGAUAAAUUUGCCCUGUUUGAUUAUUCAUUCGACACAUAUUUACCCAACUAUUCUUUUUUGUUGGCCUUUUUGUUCUGAAUUCACACUUUAUUGUUCGCUGGUGUUGACAUUUGUCAAGAAGCACAAAGACCCUGCCCGUUGAGGAAGUGAUGGAGAAUUUUAUCCUGGUCAAAAAGGCAUUGUCACCUGGACCACAUUCCAAUGCUGAAGGAUAUGACAUUCACCCUCACAUAGUGAAAAAGAGAGGCCAUUCACUGAGACCCCAAUGUCACUGCACUGUACGAAGAGCAGGCCUCAAUAUUCAUUUCAUCCUCAAUAUAGUAUUUUCUACUAACAAGCUCCAACCUGAGACAAUGUGAUACCAAGAGAAUAUCCUUGGAGCUCUUGUUUCAUACACCUGUUUGAAAACUCCUGUUUCCACACAUUUUAUCUUGUGAUUUAUAAGUGUUAACUACAAUAACAAAAGAGACCGAUAAGAGUCAAAACUCAUUUGUAUAAUUAUUAUCAAUUGACGAUCAUUAUAUUUCCCCACAUUCAUGUAUGACUUUGUAAUUAAUUAGGUUUUAAUAUUGGAAUGUAAUACACAUUCACAGAACCCCCCUCCCAUUCCCGCUGUAGCCAACAUGCCAUUUUCAACUGAACAGCUGAAUAUGGCUUGUCACUGCACUAGUUGAAGCAAAAUAUUGGGUUUCCAUUCAUAAUCGAUGUCCGAGUAUUUAACCGGUAGGGUGUCAGAUGUUUGCUUUGAGAUACUGCUGUGAUAUGUAGCACGUGCAUUACCUGUUCACCUCAAUGAGUUUCACUCAUACACGUGUUGUUUUUGCCCCAAUUGCCAACCUUGCUGCGAAACCACAUCUCAAGUCAAUCUCCAGUGCUUCCAGAAGAGUUCAUUACUUGAACAAGAACACAGACCCACACUCCUCACCUUGAAAAAACACUUGCCUUACUGAUGUCAUCGAAGAGACACUAGCUGUAAUGGAAAUGCUUCCUGAUGCUUUUUUAUUUUUAACACAAUCACUUAUAUUGGUAUAAUGACAUGGUUCCUGUUCACUAUGCCGUCCACAGUGAAGUGAAUCGGAGUGAAUAGUAAUGGGGAUAGACAGAGUGGACUCUCUAUUGCCAGAUAUACUUACCAAAACCACCCAAUACUGUGGCGUGUUUGUGCUGAUUGUUGUCUAGACCAGUGUUUCCCAACUCCGGUCCUCGAGUAGGCUACCCCCCCAACGGCACACAUUUUUGUUGUAGCCCCAGACAUAACGCACGAUUCAACUUGCCAGGGCCUUGAUUAUUUGACAAGUAGAAUCAGGUGUACUUCAAAAAUAUGUACUGUCGGGUGGUACUCGAGAACCGGAGUUGGGAAACGCUGGUCUAGGCUGUAGUGCAUGGUGAUGUAUACUAAAUGAUACAGUACAACACACAGCUGUACUGUGUCCUAUAUCAUAAAGACAUUGACUGUAAGCAUGCUAAACAUUCCCGAAACACUGUUAACACACAGCUAACCAUUGAAUAACAAUGUUUAAACAAACAAGUAUAUUUUUUUAUAGUGCAACACACCACUAGAAAAAAUAUUGGAGUUGACCAUCCUUUCUAGUUAGCUGCAGUGCAGGGCUUUGUGCCAUUAUAGAGCUUUUGCUUUGGACCAGACGAGAAGUGACCAGGGACCAAUGGGAGGGAAGAGCCUGGAGCAGACUCAAGACCAUCUGCUGUCCCUGUGGACAAUGGCACCUCCUCAACCCAGAACAGAGCCAGAGCCAGAAUGGCUUCCUUCUCCCUCUCAUCACUCCACCACUUAAACUGAACUGACAGGAGGACUUAAAUUCAGGGACUUGUGGGUAAAAUGUAACCUCAGAAUGUGAGUUUUUACAAUGUGUCCUCAAUGCCCUGUGUGUACUCAGACUUUUUCAGCACCCGUCAUUUUACCAGUUUGUGUACAGUAUUAGGGUAGAGAAAUCACUUAGUUUGUACACUAUGAAAAUGCAUCUUUUUUAUUAAAAUCCAAAUUAGCUUUUGUUUUAUUUCACAUUGGUGUGAUGCAGCACCUGAUAUUUGUCCACAGGGUAUGUUUCAUUGAAUUAGAUAUUUCGUCUAUACAAUGGGUUUUAUUUUGUUUCCUAAAUUUUAACUAUGACCAUCCAACUUUAGUCAUGAUGUAUGAGGGACCUGCAUUUUGGAACUAAAGGGAAUCUUUUGUGGAGGAUUCAGAUGUGUCUGAAGAUGAACAUUUUUCACCCCUCUUUUUAAUUAUUUUCAAGUUAUGAAAUAUUGAAAAACUGAAAUAUUGCUAGUUCUAUAGAAACAAUUAAAACUCAACUUUUGCCAGAGUUAUAAAUCAUGUUAAUGUUUAAAAGAGGAGAAUGGGGCAUUACAGUCCUGCAUUUCAUCUGGAUUUCUAUGCAGUUGUCUGACUCUUUAUAUCAGUGUUUGGAAAUGUUUGCAAAAUUGUGUUAUAUUUCAUGUAUUGUUUAUAUUAUAUUGAGUAUUCAAAUAAAAAUGGAAAAUGGUACCACUUCGCAAAAUGUUAUUAAGUCCAAAGCAAAGGCCAUGUUUGCAGCAUAAUCAACAGGACAAGUAUACCAUACACACUGUGCAUUCCGAAAGUAUUCUGACCCCUU